Molecule: ribosomal RNA, 253 nt
Filed under: uncultured bacterium
Lineage: Bacteria
Description: partial 16S ribosomal RNA
Rfam family: Bacterial small subunit ribosomal RNA
Source: RNAcentral
UACGUAGGAGGCAAGCGUUGCCCGGAAUUACUGGGCGUAAAGCGCGUGUAGGUGGUGGGACAAGUCUGCUGUGAAAGCGCCUGGCUUAACCGGGCGAGGUCGGCGGAAACUGUCCGACUAGAGGACGGUAGAGGGGGGUGGAAUUCCCGGUGUAGUGGUGAAAUGCGUAGAGAUCGGGAGGAACACCUGUGGCGAAGGCGGCCCCCUGGGCCGGCCCUGACACUGAGACGCGAAGGCGUGGGGAGCGAACGGG